UGCGUAGGCGGCUUUUUAAGUCGGAUGUGAAAUCCCCGAGCUUAACUUGGGAAUUGCAUUCGAUACUGGGAAGCUAGAGUAUGGGAGAGGAUGGUAGAAUUCCAGGUGUAGCGGUGAAAUGCGUAGAGAUCUGGAGGAAUACCGAUGGCGAAGGCAGCCAUCUGGCCUAAUACUGACGCUGAGGUACGAAAGCGAUGGGGAGCAAAACA
RNAcentral lists this ribosomal RNA (209 nucleotides) under uncultured bacterium. RNAcentral's name for it is "partial 16S ribosomal RNA". It matches the Rfam family "Bacterial small subunit ribosomal RNA", at positions 568 to 775 of the family's 1533-position model. The record is from RNAcentral.